UCGGGUGGUUUUGCUCAGACCCAUUAGGCCGAUUCCCCAAAGUGCCACGUCAGACACCAGGAAAAUCAUAUUAAAAUUGCUUUAGAAACAAAUAACUGCUGGCAGAGCGUGGAGAGGACCCACAGCAGAAUAAUGCGCAGCAGCGCACCGGGGCUCUGAUGGGGAAGCCAUCCGCGUGAGACAAAAAGUCCAUAAAUUUCCUGUUAAUCUCAUUAACAAGUUGACACUUGCAGGUGCGCUCCUGCCUCGUGCCACACUGCUCAGAGGGGCUGGAGAAGGAGAUUUUCCUUCUGGCUCCUUUCAUUUCUGCACGCCGCAAGCAGGGCACUGCUGCUGUCAGACCGACGUGUGGGGAGCAGGGCAGCCCCUGCCCCUCACACCCACGGUCCCAGCCAGGCAAGUCGGCGACAGAGAAGGCUUCUGCCACCUCGCCCAGCCAAGGGAGCCCUGCUCCACGCUGCCAGCAGCCCCCUCCCUCCGUGCCCCCUCUCCUGCCCCUGCCCACCCGGGGCAGAGGCACCGCCAGGGCUGCGGAGCCGGGCGGCGAGAGCCGGGUGUCCUCUUGGUAGCGGCUGGGGACACGUCGUGGCCAGAGGUGCGAGGGAUCAUCACCUGCCUUCAGGUUUUUUUUUUUUUCCUGAGGCCACAAGGACACGGGAACUCCACCAGCACCUUGCAGCAUCGCCGUCCCCUCCCCGAGCAGCGAUGCGGCCCCGCAGCCACCUCCCCUGGAGGGACUCUGGGUUGCACGGAUGGGCGUGCGCCUCUCCACCUCGCCACAAACCCAUGGGGGUGCCGGCUGUAACAGAGCCUGAGGCGGCAACUUUCCAUGGGCUAAGCGUGUGGUGCAUGAGAGGAACCCCCCAGGCCCCGCUGAGCACCGUCCAACCCCAGUUGUGCCACCGAGCCCCUGCCCUUGGCCACCGCCACCCCAGCGCGGUGCUCGCCCCAGGUGCCGGGGCGCGUGACCCGGCUGGGCGCGCUGGCAUGACGCCACGCUGAUAAUUAGGAAGGAACCUAAUGAAACUUCUAAAAUAGCACAAUUUCCUCCACACACCUGCAGUCGAACUGGGUGGAUU
Molecule: long non-coding RNA, 1079 nt
Filed under: Anser cygnoides (Swan goose)
Lineage: Eukaryota; Metazoa; Chordata; Aves; Anseriformes; Anatidae
Description: lncRNA (ENSACDG00005015067.1)
Source: RNAcentral